This 257-nucleotide ribosomal RNA is filed under the name uncultured bacterium. Its description in RNAcentral is "partial 16S ribosomal RNA". It matches the Rfam family "Bacterial small subunit ribosomal RNA", at positions 524 to 776 of the family's 1533-position model. The record is from RNAcentral.
UACGUAGGGUGCAAGCGUUAAUCGGAAUUACUGGGCGUAAAGCGUGCGCAGGCGGUUCGCUAAGACAGAUGUGAAAAUCCCCGGGCUUAACCUGGGAACUGCAUUUGUGACUGGCGGGCUAGAGUAUGGCAGAGGGGGGGUAGGAAUUCCACGUGUAGCAGUGAAAUGCGUAGAGAUGUGGAGGAAUACCGAUGGCGAAGGCAGCCCCUGGGCCAAUACUGACGCUCAUGCACGAAAAGCGUGGGGGAGCAAACAGG